GCCUGCUUGGUGUAGUGGUUUGAGCACUGGACUAUGACUCUAGGGACCAAGGUUCAAAUCCCUGCUUGGCCA
Molecule: non-coding RNA, 72 nt
Organism: Phrynosoma platyrhinos (Desert horned lizard)
Lineage: Eukaryota; Metazoa; Chordata; Lepidosauria; Squamata; Phrynosomatidae
Source: the annotation of a GenBank genome assembly